RNAcentral lists this ribosomal RNA (244 nucleotides) under uncultured prokaryote. RNAcentral's name for it is "partial 16S ribosomal RNA". It matches the Rfam family "Bacterial small subunit ribosomal RNA", at positions 457 to 700 of the family's 1533-position model. The record is from RNAcentral.
UAGGGGACGAUAAUGACGGUAGCAUCAGAAUAAGGAUGGUCCAACUUCGUGCCCGCCGGGGCGGUCAUUCGGAGGAUCCCAGCGUUAUCCGGAAAUCCUGGGGGUAAAGAGUUGCGUAGGUGGCAUAGUAAGCGAGUAGUGAAAGCGUUCGGCUCAACCGGAUAUCCAUUACUUGAACUACUAAGCUAGAGGAUGAGAGAGGUUAAUGGAAUUCCCUAGUAGGAGUGAAAUCCGUAGAUAUAGG